AGAGCGGGUCGGGCGGUCGCCGCUUCGCCGAGAGGUGGAGGGGAGGAAAGUCCGAACACUACAGGGCAGCGAGCCCGCUAACGGCGGGGAGCCUGUCGGCUGAAUGACUGCCACGCAGUCGUGAUGCUUUCGGGCGACGACAAGUGCAACAGAGAACAGACCAGCCAGCGGGCCACGCGCACCUUUCGGGGUGCGUGCGGCAGCGGGUGAUGGGUGAAACGGUGCGGCUCCGUAAGGGGCUUAAUGUAAGAGCGCACCGGCGCGUGUGGUGACACGCGCGGCCAGGUAAACUCCUCGCAGUGCAAGACCAAAUAGGGAGGCGUCACACAGGGCUGCCCGCCCGAAGCGUGCUGAUCAACAGCGCGCUACGACCUCCGGGUAGGUCGCUCGACCCGACUGGCAACAGUCGGGCUAGAUGAAUGAUCGCCGCUUCCGCCCUUACCAGGCGGGGUACAGAAUUCGGCUUACAGACCCGCUCUCAAC
RNAcentral lists this RNase P RNA (483 nucleotides) under Pyrinomonadaceae bacterium. Its description in RNAcentral is "RNase P RNA component class A". It matches the Rfam family "Bacterial RNase P class A". Rfam says of the family: Ribonuclease P (RNase P) is a ubiquitous endoribonuclease, found in archaea, bacteria and eukarya as well as chloroplasts and mitochondria. Its best characterised activity is the generation of mature 5'-ends of tRNAs by cleaving the 5'-leader elements of precursor-tRNAs. The record is from RNAcentral. Lineage: Bacteria; Pseudomonadati; Acidobacteriota; Blastocatellia; Blastocatellales; Pyrinomonadaceae.